UACGGGAGGCAGCAGUGGGGAAUAUUGCACAAUGGGCGCAAGCCUGAUGCAGCCAUGCCGCGUGUAUGAAGAAGGCCUUCGGGUUGUAAAGUACUUUCAGUCGUGAGGAAGGUGUUAAGGUUAAUAACCUUAGCAAUUGACGUUAGCGACAGAAGAAGCACCGGCUAACUCCGUGCCAGCAGCCGCGGUAAUACGGAGGGUGCGAGCGUUAAUCGGAAUUACUGGGCGUAAAGGGCACGCAGGCGGUUAAUUAAGUUGGAUGUGAAAUCCCCGGGCUUAACCUGGGAAUGGCAUUCAAGACUGGUUAGCUAGAGUCUUGUAGAGGGGGUAGAAUUCCAUGUGUAGCGGUGAAAUGCGUAGAGAUGUGGAGGAAUCCGGUGGCGAAGGCGGCCCCUGGACAAAGGCUGACGCUCAUGUGCGAAAGCGUGGGGAGCAAACGAGGGAUUAGA
Molecule: ribosomal RNA, 449 nt
Filed under: uncultured bacterium
Lineage: Bacteria
Description: bacterial SSU rRNA
Rfam family: Bacterial small subunit ribosomal RNA
Source: RNAcentral